Molecule: long non-coding RNA, 214 nt
Filed under: Sorghum bicolor (sorghum)
Lineage: Eukaryota; Viridiplantae; Streptophyta; Magnoliopsida; Poales; Poaceae
Description: long non-coding RNA (SBIC_LNC006574)
Source: RNAcentral
UGGCUGUGAUUCUACGGUCGUUCGAAGAUUGAGUCGAAGUCUUCACGGUUUCGGUGCCUCUCUCCCCGUCGCUUGGUCGCAUCCAACCAUGGCAGGUAUAAGGCUAGUUAUCCAUUGUUUUUCAGAAAUAUUACCCUCUUCAUAUCGCUGUUCGUCAGCAAGUUAUCAUAUUUCUGCUGUUACUUAGUAAGUAAUCUAGUUCGUAGACCUACUG